Molecule: ribosomal RNA, 379 nt
Filed under: uncultured bacterium
Lineage: Bacteria
Description: bacterial SSU rRNA
Rfam family: Bacterial small subunit ribosomal RNA
Source: RNAcentral
UAAUACAGAGGGGGCAAGCGUUGUCCGGAUUUACUGGGCGUAAAGCGCGCGCAGGCGGUGGCCGAGGUGCCGUGUGACAGGCGGGGGCUCAACCCCCGGUUCGCAGGGUAGACCGGGUCACUGGAGGCAGGGAGAGGGAUGUGGAAUGGCCGGUGGAGCGGUGAAAUGCGUAGAGAUCGGCCGGAACACCAGCGGCGAAGGCGGCAUCCUGGUCCUGACCUGACGCUGAGGCGCGAGAGCGUGGGGAGCGAACUGGAUUAGAUACCCAGGUAGUCCACGCCGUAAACGAUGUGCACCCGGCGCUGGGGCGUGAUUGCGCGCCUCGGUGCCCGAGCUUACGCGAUGAGUGCACCGCCUGGGGAGUACGGCCGCAAGGCUA